This 4476-nucleotide long non-coding RNA is filed under the name Triticum aestivum (bread wheat). RNAcentral describes it as "long non-coding RNA (TAES_LNC027942)". The record is from RNAcentral. Lineage: Eukaryota; Viridiplantae; Streptophyta; Magnoliopsida; Poales; Poaceae.
ACUCUGAAUGAUAUGUUGUUAUCCUGAUUGCAUGCCUGAUGAGUUGGUUCUGCUGGUAUUUUGAGGAGGCAAGCUGUGGUUUUACUCCUGGCCCUGAGAAGGGUGAACUAGGCCAUAGCGAGGGCGCCUUCAGGAACAUCGAGUCAGGGUGCCUCACUUUCUAUUUCAGUCUGCGAGGUAAUGAAGGCAAAAAAAAGUUUCUACUCGCCCUGUUCUUGCAACUAAACAGAGAAAAACUGUGUGGUUACUGAAGCAUUAUGGUCUAUAGUUACCGAAGCAUUGCAUUUGUUGAGAAAGUGUUCCUUAUACCAUGUAAGUAGGGACAAUUAUUAUUUAACUAGGUACAAUUAAUAUUUAACAAGCCACAGUUGAUCAAGCAGUCAAUGCUUAAAUAUGCCCGUACUCUGUCGUAUCCAGGAUGGAGCUUUGCUAGCUUUUGAGUUGGAUUCUUUUGACUGCACCUAAAUAUGACAAGCCGACAGUAAAUGAGCUCAUUUUAAAAAACUGCAGUUUAAAGGAAAUUAUUACAAUAUGUAUAUCAAUUCCAACAUUGCUAUCUGAAGGAUGAUUUAAGGACUAUUUGUCUCUGAUGGCUUUCCCUGUUUGCCUCCCUUUUCUGUGAGUUGACUCUACAGUUCUAGGAUCUUCUCUGUAACCAUAAAUUCACAGAUUAGCAAAAGUAUAUAUAUACUUGCUAGACCUUCUCAUUACACUCUUUCACUUUUUUGGACUAAUACUAUCCUGUAUAGACCUAAUAACAGAAGACAUGGGAAAUGCUUUCGUAACAUAAUGUUUUUUUUGUUAGAUGCUCUGUUUAUUUAGUGUCGUUGAUCCAAAAACUUGAAAGUGUAGAAAUGUUCAUGCAUGGGACUAUAGAACCAAGUAUUUCUCGAUUUGGUGAUGCUUAAUUCAGAGUUCUUAUGCAUCAGAUUGGAGUGUUAACACAAACCUGUUAUUUAUUUCACUUCAUGUGAGUUAAUGCCAAAGCCUUUUUUGUGUCCCCUCUAAUCAUUGCAUUUGUAUCUUGAUCAUUGUAUUGCGAGAAGCAAAAUAUUUCUCAUGUUUUGCUCAGUGUGUCUACUUAUCUUCUUUAUUAUAUUAACUAUUUUUUGAUGAUAUUUCACAAGAAUGACAUUGUUAGAUUUAGAUUCGUCAGGUUUCAACACAUUUGAAUAUGACAGUUAUAUAUGCCUAUGCCUCUGUGCAAGUUUUACCCAAUGGUACAUCAGUGUUUCACUAUGAAUGACUUCACUGAUUGUUAGGAAUAUUUCUUAUUUCACACUGAAGUGUUUAUCAGUAUGUUGGAAGAACAUCAUAGCCAAUCAGAGAAUACAGGUGCUAGAUGUGCUAUAAUUACUCAUAUGUUGGCUGUUGAUAUAUGAGCUUUGAUGAACCUAGCUUCAGGAAAGUCGUUCUAUGCAUUCCAAUCCAAAAAUAACUUCAGAAAAUUGAUUUUCAUUUCUGAACAUCAUUCCGUUAUCGUGGAUAUUUCCACUCUGUUUCAUGUGCGAUCAACAUUUUAAGUUUGCUAUUUCAUUACUAACUCCACAUAGACAGAUUGACUGGUAGAUAGUCACUCAGUCACAGAUUUGCCUCGACUCCUCAUUGGGAAGGUGUUGCUGCCCCCAGCUUUGUAUAGGAACAUGCAAGUUCUGACAUGGACCUGAGAGCUGAGAGCAUGCAGUUUCGUCACUCACUCUCUGAUGGUUAUAUUAUAUCAAACCAAUUUGUGUCAAGCAUCUCUAUGAACAGGGAACAUUUUUUUUGGUAGAAAUUCCAGAUGAACUUGAUAAGAGAGCAACAUCAGGAUUUUAUGUUUGGAACUAUUGAAAUUAUUUUGCCUUCUCUACUGAUGGCGCAAAGAACAUGAAGAAUACGAGAUAUAAUAGAUAGAGCAAUGCAUCUUAUCACCAAAAGAUUACAGAGGACAGUUAUCCCACAUUUUGGCAUGGUGAUGUUACCGGACGGUGUUCUUCCAUGCUAACUAUAAUGCACCCACAUUUUGUAGCGACAGAGCUAGGACAUACUAUAAAUCUAUGAUAGAUGCAGAAACGUGUUCUUCUAUAAGCAUGUGCUUGUAACAUGGGCAUACUAAUAAUUCCAUCAUGCUCCCUUCUCUCUCGCUCUUCUUUUGAAAUCCCAUUAUAUGAAUAAUAACAUGAAAAGAAUGGGCGUUUUCCAGAGCUUGGCCUAAUUUAAUAUGUUCUUAUGGUACUACAAAAAUGUUAAUAUGUUACUACAAUGUAUUUCCAGAAAUCUCAUUGUUCAUUUACUGAAUAAUACUAAUUGCUAUCAUUUUAUUUUUCAGGAUACCUCUAAUUAUUUUUAAUGUGAUAUGUUUCAUUGCAGGGUGAUACGUAUGAAGGAAAAGAGCCAGAGCGGCGCUUGGAUAAAAGUCAGUGAUGGAAUUUGUUUGGCAUAUGCGGAAAUCUUGGUAAAGGUAAGUUCAGUCUUUCACUCGCUCACCAUGUUUUUUUGGUCUGCAUUAUUUUUCUAAUCUACAUUUCAGGAGUGGCUAUAGUCAAUGCUUUCAUGUACAUGAUUGGUAUGAACUUCUCAUCAUAGCUUGGACAUAUCUCUUUUCACACGCAAUCUUAUUUAUUUGAAAAAUAAGUUAUAUACUCUGGGUAAUAAUUUGAUGGUAGGCCAUUUCAAUAAUUCUAUUUGUUUCAGGCAUUGGUAGAUUGUGUUACAACUGAAGAGUUUCUUGUGCUAAUACUUGCAGAUCUCGACACACCCUGAACAAUGAGCACAUGUUACCAGCCACAUUCCACACAGGAUGUGUUCUUUUCAAAACAAAGAUACCCUGAUACAUGAUUAUUCCUCUUUCAAGUUCUUGAUCCUUGAAGAUACUUGCUAGGUUUCUAGCUGAUUUUUCGGUAGUAUAAGGCUAUAAGCUCGAUGUAUAUGGCCUGAAUAUGAUCUGAUUCAGAGUACAUUGUGUUCUGAAGCUUUUUACUGUAUGGUUCUCUCUUGAAAGAAUUCAAGCCAUUGUUCAAUGGGAGAGAAUAGUUGUAAUCCUCAAAUAACUGUCGUACCUAUUCAUCAGCUGACACGAUUGCCACCGAGAUCAUUAUUUUCCUUUUUUUCAGGUUUUCAACAUCACGAAUUUCAUACUUAUGGAGUGGAGCUACCAAAAUAUCUAUUGAGGUAAAAUCACUAUAUACAUAUUGUUUUCCCCACAUUGCAUCAGGCGACACACAUCUGUUGCAAAGAAAUAGGCAUCACCUGUAUGCUUGCUUUUGUUCGCUUCUAGACGGAGGGAGUAUUACUAGAUAGACACAUACUUCUUUAUGCAAUUCUUAAUUUAUAGAAGCAGAAGAACUGAUUAUGUGGAUUGAAUAUAUAAUCCCAUGUGUAGGUGCUAUCCAAGUGUUGUGAUUAUUUAGCACACACAACUUGCAGGGAGAUAACUCUAUACUAUGAAGACUUUAAAAUACGAGUGCGUGUCGUUGGUGUUUUUGAAACCAUCUUCCAUCACGUCUAAUAUUGUUCUAUUUCAUAAUAGUAAUUGUUCAGCCUUUGACUGACAUAUGGAUGAUUUUUGUAAUAUAUUUCUUCCUUCCAUAUUACCAGGAAAUAUGUCGAAGCACAGAAUAUAUUCCAUAUGCAGUAGACUAACAGAACGACACAAGACAUAAAAAGAGGAGUAUAAGUGGAAACCUUUCUUUCUCUUUAAAUUCUUGAGGAUGGUAACAUUAUGAUGAAGGUGGAACCAUAGAGAGAUGUGUAUUUUUAAUUGAGAUAUUUUCAGGAGUACCUUUGCAAAGCUGAUAUAUCUUUCUUUUACAAGAUAUGGUUGCACUUGCUUCAUCUACAUAGGCCGUCUGGAAUGCCAUGAGGCCGGGAUUUGUGUAGGAAAUCUUCAAAGCUAUUAUAUUGGUCUCAAGAAACUUGCAAUACAUCAAUGCAUUUUUAUUUUUAUUUUUUGCUGACACCACAGCUACCACCUCUUCACUAAAUGACAGAGGUUCCCAGCAGCUGCACAUGGAAAGAUUGAAUGUUAUAUUCUGUCUACUAAUCAAUAAGGAGGGAGAUCAAAAUUACUGCUCUCAAAUAUUCGCCUGAUCAUUUGUAUGUUUCUACAAUUUUCCUGCUUGUUGGAACAUGUUUGAUGUACUUACACAUUAACAAAAAUGAUCUGUAACAUUCAUGAAAAUAUUUGGGUUUGGUCCUCUGCUUUUUUUACUGUUUAUUUACUCAUGAAGAUAGCAGAUGUCCCUGUUUUUAAAUAUAGUUAUCUGUGCUUCCAGUUGGUAGAGAUCAAAGUAUUAACUCGCCGAUAUAGGGAAAUAGAGCUCUUUUAUAGACACUACUAGCAGUGGAUACAGGGUGAGCCGUUUUGAAAUUGUUUCAUAGAAUAACUCCCGUAUAAGGUCUGGUCUUUUGGGUAUACAAUCCUUUCUUGAGAUGAGCAUUGGCAGCUCACAUAAGUAUACAGUAGUAUAUUUGACAGAUGAUGAUGAUCAUUGGCAG